Oxyura jamaicensis (ruddy duck) is the source of this 270-nucleotide long non-coding RNA. RefSeq lists it as uncharacterized. Lineage: Eukaryota; Metazoa; Chordata; Aves; Anseriformes; Anatidae. The transcript is spliced from 3 exons. The record is from RefSeq and is a predicted model, not a curated record.
GAGCAAAUCUCCAAGCUGCAGCCCGUGGAGGAGCCCCUGGUGGAGCAGGUGAAUGUGGCCUGGAGGAGGCUGUGGCCCAUGGAAAGCCCCUGCAGAAGCAGGCCCUGGGCCGGACCUGCCGCCCGUGGAGAGGAACUCACACAGGAGCAGGGGGUCUGGGGGGAGCUGCCGCCCACUGUGGGGGACCCGUGCUGGAGCAGUUUGCUCCUGGGGGAUGGACCCUGUGAAUGGAUGGAUGGACCCCAUGGUAUGGAGCAGUGUGGGAGCAGU